Molecule: ribosomal RNA, 150 nt
Filed under: Triticum aestivum (bread wheat)
Lineage: Eukaryota; Viridiplantae; Streptophyta; Magnoliopsida; Poales; Poaceae
Description: partial small subunit ribosomal RNA
Source: RNAcentral
UUGAAUAAGCCAAAGAUAGAGAGAGAAAACUUAAAGAACUAUUUGAGAAAAGAAAUAUAUUUCCAGGUUAUUAAUUCCAUCCUAAUUUUCAAUAUUGUGGAUUUAAUAAAAAGAACUCAAGGCUGCAACAUUCACUUUAAGACUAGUUAA